RNAcentral lists this long non-coding RNA (3329 nucleotides) under Sitophilus oryzae (rice weevil). RNAcentral's name for it is "uncharacterized LOC115882029, transcript variant X2". Lineage: Eukaryota; Metazoa; Arthropoda; Insecta; Coleoptera; Curculionidae. The record is from RNAcentral.
GGUUACUGUUCUUUAGUUAUGUCGUUCUUAUAAUUUUUCUGAUUUUUUGAUAGAAAGUGUUUUUUCUGUGCACUAUUUGAGUUUAUUCUGUUCCUUAAGGCCCCUUUAAUCUCCCGAAAAUGAAUAUUAAUAAUACAAACAAUACAAACCAUCUAAAAGAAGAGACCUGGGUCCUGGGUCACCCCUUGUAUAAUCCUGACGUUUGGCCAUCAUUCUGAUUUACAAGGUGGUCUUCCAUUAUCUGAUUAAAAAUUUUCCUCAACUAAUCGAUGGAUGUAUACAGUUCCAGGGCAGUACAUUUAUCCUUGUCACAAAUAUUACCAACAAUACAUCAGGACUUGUAAGUAUAUCUAAAAUUGUAUCAGUGGAUUUCAUGAUUUCUAUAGUUAAAAAAGUAGGAAAAAAAUAUCAGUGAGUCUCUGGGUUACAUUUUUAUGGUUCCUUAUUAUUAUUUAGACCAACUAUUUUUAAUUUGAGCCAAUUUUUGCCUUUUGGUCACUUAAAUUCUUUUUCUUUUUGGUAUGAUACCAUCUAACUUAGAAUUUAACUUCAUUAUGUUUAUGAUUAACUUAUUUAUACAAGUUAUUUAUUUAUAAUUGCUUGCCUCCUAUAUUUUUCUGUUUCUGCUAUUCCAGUGACUUUUUUUUCUAUAGAUCUUAUUUAUUUGGUAAAAUGUACCCUGUACUUAGAAUUUUACUUCAUUUUGUUUAUGGUAUAGUUAACUUUCAUUUUUCUAUAAUAGCUUGAUUCGCAUAUUUUCUUCAUUGUGGGAAUAAUCGCAUCAUUUACCAAUUCUAUAAAAUGUUUCAUAAACUGUGGUGUCAUUCUUCUAAUACUUUUUUUAUACUAAUGGGGAAUUUCUUGUACUGAAUUUUAUUUUUGUUGGAUUCAUUUUCAUGUCAUUUUUCUCAGACCAUAUGCCAUGAAUUGCUAUAAUUUUACGUAUUUUGGUGGUUUGGUUUGCCUGGGUUUAAAUAGAAUUGAAACACACGAUUUCACACUUAGAAAUUUCUCGAUAAGCGCUAAUUUUCGAACGAUUCCUGGCGCAUUCGCCAUUUGUUCAAAAACUGAUUCGUCCACAUGUUUCCUGGCUUUUCUAGCAUUUCUUCCAAUGAUAUUUCCUGAGUAACAUCGACUCCAGAGCAUCAUAGCUAGCCUCCCCUAAGAGGAGGAGACCCGGGUCACCCCCUAACCCUGAUGUUCGGCCAUCGAUGACCUAUGUAGCAUGCAUAGGUACCCAAGGGAGUCACCACCCUCUGGUUUACGAGCUAGGUGUUCUAACGCUUCGGCCGGAUACGACCUGGCACCCAAGCUACGAGACUUCUUCGUGCCCGUAUCCCGUGACGUCUCGACAGUAGAGGGGGCGGGAUAUUGGACACAUUGAAGAUGAUGAGGGGGGUCCGCCUGUAGGGGGUCCCGGUGGAUGUCCGCUCGAUGGGUGACGAGGGUGACCCGAGACGAGGCUGCUUAGCUGGGAUGGGAACUGCCUGGUGGGGCUUAAUCGUCGGACAAGGGUUAAAUCUGAUGAAGGGAGGCGAACUUAGAUGCUCUGGAGGAUUUUUCUUUUUGUGUUUGAUGUCAAAUGAAUUUUCCAUUUCUUAUUGACCACAUACUUCUUUAUUUUUUUCUCUUGCUUUUGGUCUACCUCUAUUUCACUAUUUUUGUAUCCCAUAUUUUCUUUAUUAUUGGAAUAUCAUCAUUCAUCAAUUCUAUAAACCCUUUUAAUAAUUGUCUUAUAUAUUUGUAUUUUUUUAUCAUUCCUCUGACACUUUUCUAUGAUAUAUUUUAUCAUUUCUAUAUAUAGAGUUAUAGCAUUUCAUUCAUUUUCAUUUCCAUUUUUUACUAAUUUAUACCCCAUUUUCAUGCCAUUUUUUCAGUUCAUCAUAUCUAUAUUUCACCAUUUGUUUCCAUAUUUUCUUCCUUAUGGAAAUGUCAUCGUUCAUCAGUUCUAUAAACUUUUCAAUUGGUUGUAUUUCUAAAUCAUCUAAUAUGUAUAUAAUUAUAUAAUUUUUUUCUGUCAUUCUUCUGAGACUUUUAUAAGUUCAUUACACAUUUUCAUGCCAUUUUUUCCAAUUCCACAUACCACUAUUUCUUUGUUUGUGUCUCAUAUUUUCUCCAUUCUUUGAAAUCUAUUAAUUUAUGUAUACCUGAGUUAUCAGUCAUCAUUUACUUGUAUCAUUUAUUUUUGUAUUGUGCCAUUCUAUGUCAAGACUUGUCUAAGGCAUUUUAUUUCUAUUGUCUCUAUAGAGAAUUUAUCAUACCUCCCAUACAGUGUAAAACUUGCAUAUGUUAUUUUUUUAAAUGUAAUUUAUUGUAUCUCAUCUAUAUUGAUUGUAUUUCUAAAUCUCUUCUUUUAUUUGUGUUAUUGUUUAAUUUACUGCUAUUCAAUCUAAGACUUGCAAGUCUUUGAUUUCAUUUCUAUUGAUACCCACAUAGAAUUUUGUAGUUUAGGAUUCAUUUUCUAAUUUAUUUUCUUUUAUCUCCAUCCUUUUCAAACUGAAUGUUUGAUGGGGAUCUUGUACUGCUUUGGAACAAGGAUUUUUGGACAAGGACAGCAGGCACUUGAGUUCAACCACCCUCUUCGAGAUGUCAUUAGACUGAUUAAAUUCAACAUUCAACAGUGGACUGAGAAUGUUGAAGUUCAUCAUUGACGAUGCUAAAUAAUUUUAGAACCAAGGCUUUCCAGAAAUGUUGCAGAAGAUUUAUUAACUUUCAUCUAGACAUCAGCAUGUCCGCCAUCAACUUGGAUUUCAAUAUACUUUUACCUUUGUUAAAAUGUAAUACGUUAAAAAAUGUAAUAAGCGAUAACAAAAAAAAUAUAUUUUACUGUAGAUAUUUAUUAGUUAAUAAGUUCAAAAUAAUAUUUAUAGUUAGGAAAUAUAUUUAGUGUAAGAAUAUGUUUUAGUCUAGUUGAUAUAAUUAGAUAUGAAAAUCAAAUAUGUAAACAUAUACCGUAUGAUCGAAAAAAAACUGCGUCCAGUUGGCUUGGAAAUGAGGAUCGAUGACAUUCCUCAUAUAAUUUUAGAUAUAAAAUGACAGCGAUCUUUAUUUCAUAGCCAUCGCUGACGCCGUUUUUAUUCGAUCGUAUGGCACUACCUUGUUAAUGAAAAAACCUUGAGCUGGUGUGUUGAACAAUUAAUAACACACUUGUAUCUCAAUUUUAGUUAAGAUAUUUAUCCUUAACACGGCAGUAUAUUAUAGUGGUGUAAAGAAAUUCAUAUAGCUUUAUAAGUUAUAUAAAUAUACAUUUUUUAAUUAAUAAGAUCCAUAGUUUAUAACUUAUUGUGUAUAAUUAGAAUAGAGAAUAUAAAUAAAAGUAUUAGAAUUUA